Molecule: long non-coding RNA, 1116 nt
Organism: Glycine soja
Lineage: Eukaryota; Viridiplantae; Streptophyta; Magnoliopsida; Fabales; Fabaceae
Exons: 2
Source: RefSeq, a predicted model, not a curated record
AUGGCAUCGUUUGGAUGGAAAAUUCCAGCUUUUUUGUUUAUAUUUGCUAUUAUUUUUAAAAAUAAAAGGAUUUUCAACUCAUUCAGGAAAAUCGUCGAACACUUUCAGUACCGUCGCAGGCCACUCUCUUUCUUCUGGCGUCCAUUUUCAACUCAUUCCCCGCAACCAGCGAACCAAGACCCUCGUUCCAUAAUGAAACAAGACCCAUUCGAAAUAUGCACUUCUCUAAGGCUUUCAUUACUAGUAUCAGGCAGUGCUGCAAGUUGUUCCAUUUCAAGACUCAUCCAUGAGAUCAAUGUUAACGGAACCGGACGGCAUUUGUUUAUACUUUUCAUUCUUGAACUGAUCAAGCUCAGUAAUUAGUGCAGAUGCCCAUGAAUCAUAACAACUUAACUCACACAAAUCCUUCUCCGCACCGCCGCCGCCGCUCUCCUCUGAUCCUUCGCUCCCGAAUCUUCGCCAAGAUCUGGUACGGGAACAAUUCUUCUUUCCACGUAGAUUAUCUCCAAUGCACAAUUUCUUCAAGAAUCCGUUUCUUCAUUUUAAGAAACUCACUACGGAACUGGCGUUGAAGAUGCACUUACAUUUCUUUUGCUUUCCCUAAUCUAGUUAGUGACUGGUAUUAGUUUUUUUUUUACUGAAAUAUCAAAAUAAUUCUUACUAAUUUAGUCACAUAGCUUCCAUAAUUUGAAAUACCCAAAUCCUCUAGGCCAGUUUGCAAAAACCAAAACUGUUAGGGAGGUUGGUGUUUGUUGUUCUGAUAUGUGAAGGGAUGUCCAGAAGAGACGUCCUCCAAAGGUGGAUUGUGCGUGUGAUGGUCGUUGGUGUCGGUGGUGGUGGUGAUUGUCAUCGGUGUUUGGUGACGGUUCUCAUCCAAGAGUGGGUUGCACGUGGUCUAUGGUGGUCAUUGGUUUUGGUGGUGGUUGUCAUGUAAAUACUGAUUGUGUAAAAGUUUGUCUAAACACUGGUUUGUGUUCACUUAUUUAAAUAGUGUGAUUUUCUAUUUUUUAAUUGGGUUUUUUGAUUUUAAUAUUGUGAAGAUGAUUUUAAUUAGGAAUCAUUUUUGCUGUGGGAAUCAUUGUGUGAUGUUGACAUUACUAUUUUGUUUUGGGACUA